Molecule: non-coding RNA, 46 nt
Organism: Schistosoma mansoni
Lineage: Eukaryota; Metazoa; Platyhelminthes; Trematoda; Strigeidida; Schistosomatidae
Source: Rfam
GCACUGCUGAGGAGUCCUACAACAGGACAAAACGCCCGUCCAGUGU